RNAcentral lists this ribosomal RNA (117 nucleotides) under Indigofera cordifolia. RNAcentral's name for it is "5.8S ribosomal RNA". It matches the Rfam family "5.8S ribosomal RNA", at positions 40 to 154 of the family's 154-position model. Rfam says of the family: 5.8S ribosomal RNA (5.8S rRNA) is a component of the large subunit of the eukaryotic ribosome. It is transcribed by RNA polymerase I as part of the 45S precursor that also contains 18S and 28S rRNA. The record is from RNAcentral. Lineage: Eukaryota; Viridiplantae; Streptophyta; Magnoliopsida; Fabales; Fabaceae.
AGAACGUAGCGAAAUGCGAUACUUGGUGUGAAUUGCAGAAUCCCGUGAACCAUCGAGUCUUUGAACGCAAGUUGCGCCCGAAGCCAUUAGGCCGAGGGCACGCCUGCCUGGGUGUCA